This 450-nucleotide ribosomal RNA is filed under the name uncultured bacterium. RNAcentral describes it as "partial 16S ribosomal RNA". It matches the Rfam family "Bacterial small subunit ribosomal RNA", at positions 354 to 796 of the family's 1533-position model. The record is from RNAcentral.
GUGAGGAAUAUUGGACAAUGGGCGCAAGCCUGAUCCAGCCAUUCCGCGUGCAGGAUGAAGGCCUUCGGGUUGUAAACUGCUUUUGUACGGAACGAAAAGCCUCUGGUUAAUACCCGGGGGUCAUGACGGUACCGUAAGAAUAAGCACCGGCUAACUACGUGCCAGCAGCCGCGGUAAUACGUAGGGUGCGAGCGUUAAUCGGAAUUACUGGGCGUAAAGCGUGCGCAGGCGGUGAUGUAAGACAGUUGUGAAAUCCCCGGGCUCAACCUGGGAACUGCGCUUGUGACUGCAGUGCUGGAGUACGGCAGAGGGGGAUGGAAUUCCGCGUGUAGCAGUGAAAUGCGUAGAUAUGCGGAGGAACACCGAUGGCGAAGGCAGUCCCCUGGGCCUGUACUGACGCUCAUGCACGAAAGCGUGGGGAGCAAACAGGAUUAGAAACCCGGGUAGUCC